Molecule: ribosomal RNA, 509 nt
Filed under: uncultured bacterium
Lineage: Bacteria
Description: bacterial SSU rRNA
Rfam family: Bacterial small subunit ribosomal RNA
Source: RNAcentral
CCUGGCUCAGGAUGAACGCUAGCUACAGGCUUAACACAUGCAAGUCGAGGGGCAUCGGGAAGUUGCUGCAAUCUUGCCGGCGACCGGCGCACGGGUGAGUAACGCGUAUCCAACCUGGCCCUUAGUAGGGGAUAGCCCGGCGAAAGUCGGAUUAAUACCCUAUGUUUUCCCAUGAGAGCAUUUGAAUGGGAACAAAGGUUUACCGCUAUGGGAUGGGGAUGCGUCCGAUUAGCUUGCCGGCGGGGUAACGGCCCACCGGGGCAUCGAUCGGUAGGGGUUCUGAGAGGAAGGUCCCCCACAUUGGAACUGAGACACGGUCCAAACUCCUACGGGAGGCAGCAGUGAGGAAUAUUGGUCAAUGGGCGUUAGCCUGAACCAGCCAAAGUAGCGUGAGGGAUGACGGCCCUACGGGUUGUAAACCUCUUUUGCGGGGGAAUAAAGUUCGGCACGCGUGCCGUUUUGCAUGUACCCUGAGAAUAAGGACCGGCUAAUUCCGUGCCAGCAGCGGC